Triticum aestivum (bread wheat) is the source of this 136-nucleotide non-coding RNA. The record is from Rfam. NCBI's taxonomy places the organism in Eukaryota, Viridiplantae, Streptophyta, Magnoliopsida, Poales, Poaceae.
UGUGUACUCCCUCCGUUCCAAAAUACUUGACAACCAUUUGUCCAAAAAUGGAUGUACCUAUAUACUAAAACAUGUCUAGAUACAUCUAUAUUUUGACAAAUAGAAGGCAUGUAUUGUGGAACGGAGGGAGUAGAAU